GCCCACUUCCCACUGUAACAGCUGAAAUGCUGGAUAAUACUUUUGCAGGCAUCCCUGCAGGUAGGGAUGAGCACAGGAUCCAGGAUCCACCAAUCAGAAGCACCCAUUCUGGACUGUGAAUCAGGUGCUAUUGACACUGAGACCCUCUCUGGAGGUGGCAGCAGUUGCAGCAAGACUGUGUUUCCAUGGCAACAGUGGCUGAUGCUGUCCCCAUCUUGCGCCUGGAGCAGAAGUGCCCUGUCUCAGCAACCGGCAAGGGAGGUGACAAUGGCUUCAGCACGUGAUCACAGACCCCCCACCAGAGAGCUGACCACCUAGGGGUGCCUUUUAACAUCUCAGCCCACACAGCUACAUGGUCAGUGAAGCAUAAAAGAAAACAGGUCAAAGCAAUGAACUGCGCUGGACCGGAUGUGGAAGUGUCGAGAGAGCAAGUACUAGGUGCCCAGGAACCGUGACUAUCUGAAACCAUGAACCGAAAAUCUGUGCUCCCUUGGGUCCUUUCUCCGCCUGUUUUGACUAAGUCUUCCAUUUGUUAAGAGAGAACCCCAUCCAGCUCACUCCAGCACAUACCACGUAGGACUCGG
RNAcentral lists this long non-coding RNA (584 nucleotides) under Equus caballus (horse). RNAcentral's name for it is "lncRNA (ENSECAG00000046961.1)". The record is from RNAcentral. Lineage: Eukaryota; Metazoa; Chordata; Mammalia; Perissodactyla; Equidae.